CCUACGGGUGGCAGCAGUCGAGAAUUAUUCACAAUGGGGGAAACCCUGAUGGUGCGACGCCGCGUGGGGGAAUGAAGGUCUUCGGAUUGUAAACCCCUGUCAUGUGGGAGCAAAUUAAAAAGAUAGUACCACAAGAGGAAGAGACGGCUAAAUCAGUGCCAGCAGCCGCGGUAAUAACGAGGUACCAAGCGUUGUUCGGAAUCACUGGGCGUAAAGCGUGCGUAGGCUGUUUUGUAAGUCGUGUGUGAAAGGCGCGGGCUCAACCCGCGGACGGCAGAUGAUACUGGGAAACUAGAGUAAUAGAGAGGGAAGCGGAAUUCCAGGUGAAGCAGUGAAAUGCGUAGAUAUCGAGAAGAACACUAGUGGCGAAGGCGGGUUCCUGGACAUUAACUGACGCUGAGGGACGAAGGCCAGGGGAGCGAAAGGGAUUAGAUACUCCUGUAGUC
Molecule: ribosomal RNA, 446 nt
Filed under: uncultured bacterium
Lineage: Bacteria
Description: partial 16S ribosomal RNA
Rfam family: Bacterial small subunit ribosomal RNA
Source: RNAcentral